AGUGAACGCUGGCGGUAGGCCUAACACAUGCAAGUCGAACGGCAGCACAGUAAGAGCUUGCUCUUACGGGUGGCGAGUGGCGGACGGGUGAGGUAUACAUCGGACUCUACUUUUUCGUGGGGGAUAACGUAGGGAAACUUACGCUAAUACCGCAUACGACCUACGGGUGAAAGCAGGGGAUCUUCGGACCUUGCGCGAUUGAAUGAGCCGAUGUCGGAUUAUCUAGUUGGCGGGGUAAAGGCCCACCAAGGCGACGAUCCGUAGCUGGUCUGAGAGGAGGAGCCGGCCUACGGGAGCUGCGAGCCGCACCGGACCCCUGCGGCAGGCAGCAGUCGUGAGUAUUGGAGAAGGGGGGAAUGCUGGAUCCAGCAAUGCCGCCUGAGUGAGGAAGGCCUUCUGGUUGUUAAGCCCUUUUGUUGGGUAAGCAGAGCAGAAGGUUAAUACCGCGCUGUUGUGACGGUACCAGAAGAAGAAGCACCGGCUAACUUCGUG
This 492-nucleotide ribosomal RNA is filed under the name uncultured bacterium. Its description in RNAcentral is "partial 16S ribosomal RNA". It matches the Rfam family "Bacterial small subunit ribosomal RNA", at positions 29 to 507 of the family's 1533-position model. The record is from RNAcentral.